Molecule: long non-coding RNA, 981 nt
Organism: Sorex fumeus (smoky shrew)
Lineage: Eukaryota; Metazoa; Chordata; Mammalia; Eulipotyphla; Soricidae
Exons: 4
Source: RefSeq, a predicted model, not a curated record
GCCACAACACGGACUGACCUUCCGUCCCGCCCUCGUGGAUGUGGGGGAAGGAAUGGAAGAUGGCGUAACUAGAGAACACUGCACCAGCGGUUUACAGGAAACAGAAUGAUAAAGGAAAAAGUCACAUCCCAAGAAAGCAAGUCCCAAAUCCAGGAGAGUAAACAUGACAUGGCACAAGGCUCUGAUUUAUCCAACAAAUCAAUCAACAAGUCAAGGAGAGGAAUGCUGUGUAAAAUAUUAGAGUAAGAAAAUGGGUGUCUUCAACAUACUACAAGAAGAAGACAACAACAUAUCCCACAGCUCACCAUCCUGCAUAGACUCUGUGUGCUCCCCCACCCUGGAAACACACAUUCAGCUCUUAGAUACAAGUUGACUGCAAGACUCUAUAUAUGGAAGUACUUUGGAAUCUAUGAAAUGUUCUACAGAUGAAAGGUUAUCCUGUUGAAAAACCUGAUGUGUUUCUUCUGCCAUAAACGAGUUCCAGAGACAUUCUUUGAGGAGGGAAGAAAACAACUAAGUAGAUACCAGUUUUCUUUUUUAAUUUUUUUUUUAAACUGCCAGAACCACAGUAACCAUAAAUAAUCAACCUUUUAUGACCAAGCUUCUGUAACUGCCAGGGGAUCAUUAUCUUCUGAAAAAAGUCUCUAAUCUGUAAGCUGAGGGCACAUGACCAUUUGUGAUUCUGUGUGGUAUCCAUCAGUACCCAUCACCAAGAUAACAGCUUAAUCUUGAAUGGAGGAGGCAAGGAUAUUUUUGAGGAAGCACUGUUAAACAUUUCCCUUUAAAAAACUGAAAAGAACUAGAGAGACAGCAUGGCAGGUUGAGAGUGUGCUUUGCCUGUGGGAGGCCUGAUUUGAUUCCUGGUACUGCUUGAUUUGAUUCCUGAUUUGAUUCCUGGUCUACCAAGCACUUCUGGGAGUAACCCCAAAGCACAGAGCCCGACUUAGUCCCCCCAAACCACCAGAUGUGUGCAAAAACUCU